AUACAGAGGGUGCGAGCGUUAAUCGGAAUUACUGGGCGUAAAGCGCGCGUAGGCGGCUUGGUCGGUCGGAUGUGAAAGCCCCGGGCUCAACCUGGGAAUGGCAUUCGAUACUGCCAGGCUAGAGUAUGGGAGAGGGAAGUGGAAUUUCCGGUGUAGCGGUGAAAUGCGUAGAUAUCGGAAGGAACACCAGUGGCGAAGGCGACUUCCUGGCCCAAUACUGACGCUGAGGUGCGAAAGCGUGGGGAGCGAACAGGAUUAGAAACCCUAGUAGUCC
This 274-nucleotide ribosomal RNA is filed under the name uncultured bacterium. RNAcentral's name for it is "partial 16S ribosomal RNA". It matches the Rfam family "Bacterial small subunit ribosomal RNA", at positions 523 to 796 of the family's 1533-position model. The record is from RNAcentral.